AGAGUUUGAUCCUGGCUCAGGAUUAACGCUGGCGGCAUGCCUAAUACAUGCAAGUCGAACGAAGAUACUUAGGUAUCUUAGUGGCGAACGGGUGAGUAACACGUAGGUAACCAACCUAGAAGAUCGGGAUAACAGGGAGAAAUUUCUGCUAAUACCGGAUAAGGAAUAUUAGAGGCAUCUCUGAUAUUUGAAAGGGUCCU
Molecule: ribosomal RNA, 200 nt
Filed under: uncultured bacterium
Lineage: Bacteria
Description: partial 16S ribosomal RNA
Rfam family: Bacterial small subunit ribosomal RNA
Source: RNAcentral